This is a long non-coding RNA of Musa acuminata AAA Group (dessert banana), 455 nucleotides long. RefSeq lists it as uncharacterized. NCBI's taxonomy places the organism in Eukaryota, Viridiplantae, Streptophyta, Magnoliopsida, Zingiberales, Musaceae. The record is from RefSeq and is a predicted model, not a curated record. The transcript is spliced from 2 exons.
UAUUCCUUCUCUCGCUCGCUGUCGAGUUCUUGGGGGAGGAAACUCCAACUAGAUCUUGAAGAGGAGGAGAGAGCCGAAGGGAGUCGAUCGAUCGGAUGAAGCGAGGACGUUACCCACCGCCAUCGAAGGGUUCCUCCGCCGAAGCUGAAGAAGACAAUUGUCUACAUUCCACCAGUUGAAGCCUCAAGAAUCAAAAUCAAGACACUCCUAUUACAAUCAGUACCAACCGUACGCUGGUUCAUUCAAAGUCAUGCAAAAUCUUAAAUGACAAAGUUAUCAGUGUAUAUAAUUGUUCUUACUUUGUUUUUCUUAAAAUUAAUUCAAUGUUGGAAAGCAUUUUCUACGUUUUCAGUUUUCUGGCUUUUGUAUUUUAAAGACUUGGAGAAAUGGCAUACACUUCGAAGAAGAAGGUAAACAUUUUUAUAAAGACAAAUUUCUCAUGCAGGGUGGCAUAA